This 485-nucleotide ribosomal RNA is filed under the name uncultured bacterium. RNAcentral describes it as "partial 16S ribosomal RNA". It matches the Rfam family "Bacterial small subunit ribosomal RNA", at positions 28 to 523 of the family's 1533-position model. The record is from RNAcentral.
GACGAACGCUGGCGGCGUGCCUAACACAUGCAAGUCGAGCGGGAUCCAUCCGGUAGCAAUACUGGUGAAGAUCUAGCGGCGAACGGGUGAGUAACACGUGAGAAACCUGCCCCAGACUCUGGGAUAACACGAGGAAACUCGUGCUAAUACCGGAUACCUUCUUUUGGUCGCAUGGCCAGCUGAAGAAAGAUUUAUCGGUUUGGGAGGGUCUCGCGGCCUAUCAGCUAGUUGGCGGGGUAACGGCCCACCAAGGCAUCGACGGGUAGCUGGUCUGAGAGGAGGAUCAGCCACACUGGGACUGAGAAACGGCCCAGACUCCUACGGGAGGCAGCAGUGGGGAAUCUUGCGCAAUGGGCGAAAGCCUGACGCAGCAACGCCGCGUGCGGGAUGAAGGCCUUCGGGUUGUAAACCGCUUUCAGUAGGGAAGAAAUUGACGGUACCUACAGAAGAAGCCCCGGCCAACUACGUGCCAGCAGCCGCCGCUG